This is a non-coding RNA of Odocoileus virginianus texanus, 790 nucleotides long. Lineage: Eukaryota; Metazoa; Chordata; Mammalia; Artiodactyla; Cervidae. The record is from RefSeq and is a predicted model, not a curated record.
UUAGUUGCAGCACAUGGGAUCCUUCAGUCAGAGCACUCAGGCUUAGCUGCAUCAUGGCAUGUGGGAUCUUAGUUCCCUGAACCCACAUCCGCUGUAUCGGAGGGCAGAUUCUCAACCACUGGACCACAGGGAAAUCCCAUCUGUUCUUCAUCUUUUUAUCUCUGUAUGAAUGGGAAAGUGUUCUAGCUUUAAAGAGAACAGGCCGUGUGAGGACACAGUGAGAAGGCUGCUGUCUGCAAGCCAGAAAGAGAGGCCUCAACAGGAACCCACCCUUCAGACAACAUGAUCUCAGACUGCCACACUCCAGAGCGGGCUGCUGUGAUCAGGCGCCUCCCGAGAGACUGAAAUGGCUUUGUGUUCGCAUCCCAGGAGUCCAGAACGGUCAGCAGACCAAUCUCACCAAGUCAAGGGCCAGAAGGAGAAAGGGCAUGGCUCCGUGGCCCACACACGGCAUGCAGACCGCCCUGCCCAUGUGGGGUCCCUGCAUUGGAGGUGAAGGAUGGGAGAUGCAGCAGCUUGCCCUUUUCAGGUCGAAUCUGGGAGAGGAACAGGUGUGAAUUUAGCCAAGGUGAGUAGAGAUGAGCAGGUGCAAGAAAAGGAAGGACCGUCACAGGGUGAGGUGUGGGCAGACGCCCACCCUGUCUUAAAGAGGCAGUCACCGGCUCUAGCUCACUUCUGUUGCAUGGGGAGUGCCCACCCAUUAAUGUUUUUAUGGAUUUUGUAUGUUUUUAACGAUGACAAGUUAUUCCAAAUCCACCUGCCGGUCUGGGAGGACCCCGCACGCUGCGCU